ACUCCUACGGGAGGCAGCAGUGGGGAAUAUUGCGCAAUGGGCGAAAGCCUGACGCAGCGACGCCGCGUGAGGGAUGAAGGCCUUCGGGUUGUAAACCUCUUUCAGCGCAGAAGAAGCGAAAGUGACGGUAUGCGCAGAAGAAGCACCGGCUAACUACGUGCCAGCAGCCGCGGUAAUACGUAGGGUGCAAGCGUUGUCCGGAAUUAUUGGGCGUAAAGAGCUCGUAGGCGGUUUGUCGCGUCUGCUGUG
RNAcentral lists this ribosomal RNA (249 nucleotides) under uncultured bacterium. Its description in RNAcentral is "partial 16S ribosomal RNA". It matches the Rfam family "Bacterial small subunit ribosomal RNA", at positions 335 to 596 of the family's 1533-position model. The record is from RNAcentral.